Long non-coding RNA from Osmia bicornis bicornis, 654 nucleotides. RefSeq lists it as uncharacterized. NCBI's taxonomy places the organism in Eukaryota, Metazoa, Arthropoda, Insecta, Hymenoptera, Megachilidae. The record is from RefSeq and is a predicted model, not a curated record. The transcript is spliced from 5 exons.
CAAGGAUGCAAUUUGAUGAGUACCGUCAAUAGCAAUUACCUGAACACGAUUGAGAAAAAUGAAAUAACAUGCAAAUACAUAGAUUGUAAAAGCAGCCGCAAACGUUUGGACCGUAAAUGUUGCAAAGUUGUUUUCGCAUCGAAUCGUAAACCGUGAAACUUGGACCUAAUAUACUGAAAUUUUCUUCCACUGUUCCGAUCAGGUUCGAGCUUCCGACUGUGAUUUUCUGCAUCAAAGUUGCUGACAUGAACGUACAUACAUACCUAUACAUACCUAUACAUACAUAUGUAUAUUAUGUGUAGAUAAAAGUUCCACUCACGUAUAAUUUGUUUAAGGUAUCUCGCUUCCAUCGCUAAGAAUAGCGUUUCGGCCUUUGGUACUUUAACUCGGUAUUGGAGUCCUUUUUCUGAUCUACCGAGUACUAGAUUCCCUUGUUUCAUAUAGGUAUGAAACUGCUCCAACCUAAUUUAUCCAACGUCAAUUGGCAUGAAGGACAUUAAAAAGAAGAUUGUUCAUUCUACCCGUUUGACUAGCACAGGUUGCAAUGAACGCGUGAGUUACGAACAUGUACUCAAAUCGACGAUCUGAUGUAUUUCUAAUUGUUCCACGUUGCCCAAAAAGUGGCUUCCAGAGAGGGCAUUCAAUUGCGAUCGC